AACUUUUGGCAACGGAUCUCUUGGAUCUCGCAUCGAUGAAGAACGCAGCGAAAUGCGCUAAGUAAUGUGAAUUGCAGAAUUCAGUGAAUCAUCGAAUCUUUGAACGCAGCUUGCGCUCCUUGGUAUUCCGAGGAGCAUGCCUGUUUGAGUGUCAUUAAAUUCUCAACCUUGUCAGCAUCUGUCUGAUAAUGGCUUGGAUGUGGGGGGUUUGCUGGCUCUGUCAGCUCCCCUUAAAUGCAUUAGCUGGUGCCCUGUAUUGGUGUGAUAAUUAUCUACGCCAUGGAUUAGCGCCGCUUCUAACCGUCCGUUCAUUCGGACAAUACAAUGACAAUUUGACCUCAAAUCAGGUAGGACUACCCGCUGAACUUAAGCAUAUCAAUAAGCGGAGGCU
RNAcentral lists this unclassified non-coding RNA (391 nucleotides) under uncultured Cortinariaceae. Its description in RNAcentral is "sequence contains ITS2". The stretch from base 1 to 154 matches the Rfam family "5.8S ribosomal RNA". Lineage: Eukaryota; Fungi; Basidiomycota; Agaricomycetes; Agaricales; Cortinariaceae. The record is from RNAcentral.